GGGUGGGGGUUGGAAUUGGGGAGGUACAGGCAGUAACCCCCUAUCAACUGUUAUGCUUUAACAGCUAUAAAUUAUAGAUGGGUGUUACUCCCUGCACCUCCACCAAUGCUUCCUCCACCUCCCCGUCUCUUUUUUAUCCUUUAAUAAUAUUUAAACGAAUAUCAACAUUCGAGACGUCGACGUCCGCGGAAGCUGAAAUCCGUUUAAAAAAAUCAUUAUUCUCUUUAAAAAUAUUGAAUGCUUUCCUCUCAAUGUGCUUUUUGCUUUU
This 268-nucleotide long non-coding RNA is filed under the name Vigna radiata. RNAcentral's name for it is "long non-coding RNA (VRAD_LNC007057)". The record is from RNAcentral. Lineage: Eukaryota; Viridiplantae; Streptophyta; Magnoliopsida; Fabales; Fabaceae.